RNAcentral lists this ribosomal RNA (640 nucleotides) under uncultured bacterium. Its description in RNAcentral is "bacterial SSU rRNA". It matches the Rfam family "Bacterial small subunit ribosomal RNA", at positions 79 to 712 of the family's 1533-position model. The record is from RNAcentral.
UUCGGCCUGCCGGCGAGUGGCGAACGGGUGAGUAAUGCAUCGGAACGUGCCCAUGUCGUGGGGGAUAACGUAGCGAAAGCUACGCUAAUACCGCAUACGCCCUGAGGGGGAAAGCGGGGGAUUCUUCGGAACCUCGCGCGAUUGGAGCGGCCGAUGUCGGAUUAGCUAGUAGGUGGGGUAAAGGCCCACCUAGGCGACGAUCCGUAGCGGGUCUGAGAGGAUGAUCCGCCACACUGGGACUGAGACACGGCCCAGACUCCUACGGGAGGCAGCAGUGGGGAAUUUUGGACAAUGGGCGCAAGCCUGAUCCAGCCAUGCCGCGUGAGUGAAGAAGGCCUUCGGGUUGUAAAGCUCUUUCGGCCGGGAAGAAAUCGUGGUCUCUAACAUAGGCCAUGGAUGACGGUACCGGACUAAGAAGCACCGGCUAACUACGUGCCAGCAGCCGCGGUAAUACGUAGGGUGCGAGCGUUAAUCGGAAUUACUGGGCGUAAAGCGUGCGCAGGCGGUUUGCUAAGACAGGUGUGAAAUCCCCGGGCUUAACCUGGGAACUGCGCUUGUGACUGGCAGGCUAGAGUACGGCAGAGGGGGGUGGAAUUCCUGGUGUAGCAGUGAAAUGCGUAGAUAUCAGGAGGAACACCGA